CGCGGCGAACGGGUGAGAAACGCGUGAGAAUUUACCUUUUGGAAGGGGACAACCAAUAGAAAUUUUGGCUAAAACCCUAUAUGCCGCAAGGUGAAAAAUGCAAAUUGCCAAAAGAGAAGCUCGCGUCUGAUUAGCUAGUUGGUAGGGUAAUGGCCUCCCAAGGCGACGAUCAGUAGCUGGUUUUAGAGGAUGAUCAGCCACACUGGAACUGAGACACGGUCCAGACUCCUACGGGAGGCAGCAGUGAGGAAUUUUCUGCAAUGGGCGAAAGCCUGACAGAGCAAUACCGCGUGAGGGAGGAAGGCCUACGGGUUGUAAACCUCUUUUCUCAAGGAGGAAGUACUGACGUUACUUGAGGAAUGAGCAUCGACUAACCCUGUGCCAGCAGCCGCGGUAAGACAGGGGAUGCAAGUGUUAUCCGGAAUCAUUGGGCGUAAAGCGUCUGCAGGUGGAGACUUCAGUCUUUUGUUAAAACUCUUGGCUUAACCAGGAAUCCGCAAAAGAAACUAUUUCUCUUGAGUAUGGUAGAGGUAAAGGGAAUUUUCAGUGGAGCGGUGAAAUGUGUAGAGAUUGAAAAGAACACCAAAAGCGAAAGCACUUUACUGGGCCAUUACUGACACUGAGAGACGAAAGCUAAGGGAGCAAACAGGAUUAGAUACCCUGGUAGUCUUAGCUGUAAACGAUGGAUACUAGAUGUUG
Molecule: ribosomal RNA, 699 nt
Filed under: uncultured phototrophic eukaryote
Lineage: Eukaryota
Description: bacterial SSU rRNA
Rfam family: Bacterial small subunit ribosomal RNA
Source: RNAcentral